RNAcentral lists this ribosomal RNA (725 nucleotides) under uncultured crenarchaeote. RNAcentral describes it as "bacterial SSU rRNA". It matches the Rfam family "Archaeal small subunit ribosomal RNA", at positions 53 to 785 of the family's 1478-position model. The record is from RNAcentral. Lineage: Archaea; Thermoproteati; Thermoproteota.
GCGAGUCAUUGUAGCAAUACAGGCAUACGGCUCAGUAACGCGUAGUCCACCUAACCUAUGGACGGGAAUAACCUCGGGAAACUGAGAAUAAUGCCCGAUAGAACAUUAUGCCUGGAAUGGUUUAUGUUCCAAAUGAUUUAUCGCCGUAGGGUGGGACUGCGGCCUAUCAGUUUGUUGGUGAGGUAAUGGCCCACCAAGACUAUUACAGGUACGGGCUCUGAGAGGAGUAGCCCGGAGAUGGGUACUGAGACACGGACCCAGGCCCUAUGGGGCGCAGCAGGCGAGAAAACUUUGCAAUGUGCGAAAGCACGACAAGGUUAAUCCGAGUGGUUUCUGCUAAAGAAACCUUUUGUCAGUCCUAGAAACACUGAUGAAUAAGGGGUGGGCAAGUUCUGGUGUCAGCCGCCGCGGUAAAACCAGCACCUCAAGUGGUCAGGAUGAUUAUUGGGCCUAAAGCAUCCGUAGCCGGCUCUGUAAGUUUUCGGUUAAAUCUGUACGCUCAACGUACAGGCUGCCGGGAAUACUGCAGAGCUAGGGAGUGGGAGAGGUAGACGGUACUCGGUAGGAAGGGGUAAAAUCCUUUGAUCUAUUGAUGACCACCUGUGGCGAAGGCGGUCUACCAGAACACGUCCGACGGUGAGGGAUGAAAGCUGGGGGAGCAAACCGGAUUAGAUACCCGGGUAGUCCCAGCUGUAAACUAUGCAAACUCAGUGAUGCAUUGGCUU